CUACGGGAUGCUGCAGUGAGGAAUUUUGCGCAAUGGGGGAAACCCUGACGCAGCAACGCCGCGUGAGUGAAGAAGGCUUUCGGGUCGUAAAGCUCUGUCAGAUAGGAAAAAAGUUCAUAUGUAAAUAGCUUAUGAAUCUGAUGGUACUAUCAGAGGAAGCACCGGCUAACUCCGUGCCAGCAGCCGCGGUAAUACGGAGGGUGCAAGCGUUGUUCGGAAUUACUGGGCGUAAAGGGCGUGUAGGCGGUAUGGUAAGUCAGAUGUGAAAGCCCUGGGCUUAACUCAGGAAGGGCAUUUGAUACUGCCAUCCUUGAGUAUGGGAGAGGAGAGUAGAAUUCCCAGUGUAGAGGUGAAAUUCGUAGAUAUUGGGAGGAAUACCCGUGGCGAAGGCGACUCUCUGGACCAAUACUGACGCUGAGACGCGAAAGCGUGGGGAGCAAACAGGAUUAGAUACCCUUGUAGUC
Molecule: ribosomal RNA, 464 nt
Filed under: uncultured bacterium
Lineage: Bacteria
Description: partial 16S ribosomal RNA
Rfam family: Bacterial small subunit ribosomal RNA
Source: RNAcentral